GACCUCAGCCUGAUUUCCAAACCUCCGAUUGGCUCGGCUCCUCCGAGGAUACCGGAAGAUUGAAGACCUUUGUUUGAAAUUUGAAGUGCCCACUUCACCCGUGGCUGCAGGAGAGGAGGGAAGGAAGCAACCGAGGAGGAAGCAGGAGACUCGAAUGUCCUGACCACCCCAGUACCAACCAAGCCAGCCAGGGAGAUCCCGGCGGCAGCGGUGAGGCCCAGAAUGGUAGGCGAAAUUCUUCGCUUGGAGUGAGUGAGAUGGUUCUCACCGGGCUCUCAUGUUAUGUGGCUGGGAGGGAUUGACGGUGCCAUUGGGUCCCCGGGAAAUUUGAUUGACUCAUCCAACUUGGAGCUUUCUUUUUUCCCUGGAUGACAAAAACUGAAGACAGCUUUGUAAUCUCUGUAAAGCAAUCCCAAAGAAAGGCCAGAAGCCUCUGUGUGACUUCUAUUCUGCAGUGAGGUCGAGUUGCCUUUUAGAUACCUGUGGGAGGGAUUCGGUACGGAGAGCUACACCAAAGAGGAAGAGGACCAGGGAGAAGUCGACUGGGGGCUCAAGCCAAAACGUGGAGACCGGACCACCCCUGAGAGAAGAUGGGAGUCGACGUGUCCCUCAGAAAAAAAUAAGUAUCGAAUCAGCCACUAACCCCCAAACACUUGGAAGCAUUUACUGCCCGUAUCACAUUAUUUGAAUCAGGGUCAGUCUCUCUCACAUUUUUAGAUUCCAGAUGACAAGGUGUUUGGACUUUUCCUCCCAGAAUAUUUCCCCAAUCCAUUUUCAGGAGAAAGAACUCUGGUUAGGAGGUUGUUUUUCCUGCUCAGAAUCAGUCAGGUGAGAGAGAGGAGGUACGGGGAGCUUUUAAUUAGGAAGAAAUGAUAGGGAAAGUCAAAGAGAAAUUAAAAAGAGAGUACCGGUAGGAUGCUUAAAAGGAGAUAAACAGCCUGACACUUGACUGUAAAUUUCCCAGGGAAAUUUACCACCUGCCCCUUCAAAAGAAGGAAUGAAACACCCUAAGCCGAGGCUCCCCGCCAUUAGAGCAGUUCACUCUCCUGACUACUGGGAUUGGGAUUAUAUUCCAUGUGAGGCUUGGAUUAGUUUUCAGGAGAGAUCAAAGGAAAUUCUUGCACAUCCCCUAAGGGUGUGUUUCUGAAGGUGAUCUGGAAGUGAAUUCCCUCUGUAAAGAGGUGGUAGAGUCCAGGUUCUAACCCAGGUGGAUAUUUUUCAGAGACUUCACCUACCCAAUUCUGGGAGUGCCCCUGACAGGCAAACAAUUCCCCAGAGCUCCAGUCCCAGAUGUGAGCAGAAGCUGAGAUACAGGAGAGCGAGGAGGGCUAGAUGAAAAGAUGCUGGCAGCAGCCAAGGACCGCGGCCUCAUUACCAGACCUCCUACCUCCGAUUGGCUCGGCUUCUCCGAGGAUACCGGAAGAAUGAAGACUGUCUUGAGAGAAGACCUUCCAUCUGGAUCAGGCGGCAAGUGGUGGAUAAAGGGGAAACCCUUUUAGGUCCCUAGCUGACCCCUCCAGCUGUAUCCCAGGUCUCUGGGGCCAGGAAGUUGGAGGAAAAAAAUAGAUUCCUUCAGGCAAAGAAUCUCCUGCUUUUAUUUAUCCACUUAAGGUCUUCACGGCCUGAAAGGAGCCUAUGGGGGUAAAACAGGAGAAUUUUCUUUGAGGCAAAAACUCUCAGGGUUAUUUGAUAUGCUAAGGAUUUAGAGGCUUUCAAAGAAAAUACAUGAGGAGCGAGAGGAGAGCUCUCCUCUAUGGCGAAGCAUCUCCCGUGCCUUAGUCCAACUCAUGUCUCCAAGGCCUUUUCUUGGAGAACACAGAGAGAGUUAUUGAGGUUCAGCGGAGAAAGUUUUUGCUUCCUGCACAAAUUUUCCUAGGUCAUCAAGGCCUUCAAAAGAAUGUUUGAGGUGAAAAGGGAGAAGUUUGCUUCAAGCGAAUACUCUCCAGGUUUUCUUUCUCUAUCGAAGGUCUUCAAGGCCUCAAAAGAGAAUAUUUGAGUGAAGAAGAGGAAAUUUGCUUGGUACAAAGAAAUCUGCUCUCCCUACUCCCGGUCUUCAAGGCCUAAAAAGGCAAUCUAUGGAGUUCCAAAAAAAAACAAAACAAAAGGAGGAUUUUGCUUCGUGCAAAACCUCCCUGCUUCUCUGUCCACCUAAGGUCUUCAAGGCCUCCAAAGAUAUUAUUUGGGGGGUAAAUGGAGAAAUGGGCGUCUUGCAGGUCCAUCUGCUGUCCAUUACUCCACCUCAGGCCUUCAAGGCCUCUGAACUGAGAAUGAAUGAGAAACUCUUGGAGGCGGAGGAGGGGAAAUUUGCUUCAUGCAAAAAUCUCCAGAUUAUAUCUCUCUCUCGAAGGUCUUCAGGGCCAGAAAAGAGAAUAUUUAAGGUCCAAAAGGAGAAAAUCGCCUCAUGUUAAUCCCUGGCUUUCCGAUCCCCACUGAAGGUCUUCAAGGCCUCCAAUGAGGGUAUUUGAGGUGAAAAAGGAGGAAGUGAGUUUCAUUGAUGCAGUUCCCCGUGUAUGUUUCUCUGGGGUCUUCAAGGCUUCCAAAGAGAAUAUUUCAAGGAAAAAGGAGACAUUUGCGUCAUGCAAACAAUUUCCUGCUUCCAGGUCCCUCCCUCAGGUUUUCAAGGCCCCCAAAUGUAUACCAUUUAAAAAGAGAGAGUUUGGCUUCAUGCCAAAACCUUCCAGCUCAUUUGUCCCCCCUGAGGUCGACCAGGCCUUCAAAGAUAACGUAUGCAGUGAAAAAUGAUCAACAGGCUUCCUGCAAACUAUCUCCCUCUUUUCUUUCCACAAGGCCUUCCCGGCCUGGCAACAGAAUGAUUUAGGUGAAAAGGGAGAAAUUUGCUUCAUGCAGUAGAUGCAUCUGCCGUUCAUUACGCCAUCUGAAGGCUUUAAGGCUGUUGAACUGAGAAUGAAUAGAGAGGAGUUGAGUUGGAAAAGGAAUGCAUCUCCAGGCCUUCCAAGUAAAUAUUUGAGGUGAACAAGGAGAAGCAAACUCUAGUUUUGGUUCCUCUAAGGUCUUCAAGGCCUCCAAAGAGAACACUUGAGGUGAAAAGGGAGAAAUUUGUUUCAUUCCAAACUGCCUCUUGCCUUCUUUCUCUAAGGUCUCCAAGACCUGAGAAGAUAGUAUAUGGCAUAGAAAAAGGAGAAUUUUGCUUCCGGCAAAAUCUGUUAGGCGUAUUGGUCAAUCUAAGGUCUUCAAGACCCUCAAAGAGAAUAUAAGAGGCUUCCUGCAAAAAAACCUCCAGGUUUCCUAUCACCGGGCAUUGCCGGAGAAUGAUUUAGGUGAACAAAGGGAGAAAUCUGCUUUAUGCAGAUACACUUCCUGUGCAUUACUCCAGCUCAGGCCUUCAAGGCCCUUUACUUGGGAAUGAAUGGAGAAAUUUUGAGGGGAAAAAGGAGAAAUUUGCCUCAUGCAAACUUUGUACAGCUUGGAUUUCUCUUCCUGAAGGUCUUCACGGCCUCAAAAGAGAAUAUUUGAGAUGGGAAAGGAGAGGUUUGCUUCGUGCACACAAUGUCCAUCUCUUAAGUCUUUUUCUCCGGUGUUGAAGGCCAUAAAAGAGAAUGUUUGCGGUGACAAUGGAGAAAUUUGCUUUAUGCAUACAAUCUCCAACUUUGAUUCAUCUGAGGUCUUCAAGGCCUCAAGAGAAAAUGUGUAAGGCUUAAACGGAAAACUAUGCUUUGCGAAGACUAUCUCCCGCAGUCCUUUGGCUACCUGAAGUAUCCUAGACCUGAAAAGAGAAUCUUUGAGGUGGAAAAGGAGAAGUUUGCUUCACGCAAACAAUCUCCUACUUGAAUUUCUCUACCCAAGGUCUUCAAGGCCUCACGAGAGACCAUUGACGGUGAAAAGGGAGAAAUAGGUUUCAUGCAAAAACCAGCUCCUACUUUUCCUUCUCUCCCUGAAGUCUUUCAGACCAGAAAAGGGAAUAGUUGAGAUUUAGAACAACAGGAGAAAUUCGCCUCAUUCAAGCCACCUCCCAAUUUCAUUUCUUUACCUAAGGUCUUCAAGGCCUGAAGGGAGAAUAUGUGUGACAAGUCCAAAAAGGACAAGUUUUCUUCCUGCAAACCAUGUCCUGCUUUGUUUUCUCUGCCUAAAGGCCAGAAGGAGUAACGUAUGGGAUUAAGAAAGGAUAAAUUUGCCUCCUCCAAAAACUCACCUCAUCAUUUAUUCACCUAAGUUCUUCAAGACCUGAAGGGAAAAUACCUGAACUGGAAAAGGAGACAUUUGCUUCAUGCGGAAACAUCUCCCGUGCUUUGUUGCACAUGAGGCUUUUAAGGCCUUUUACAAGACAAUAAGUAGAGAACAUUGGUGGCGAAAAGGAGAAAUGUGCCUCAUGCCAAAGAAAUCUGCUCCAUUUCUCUGCCCAAGGUCUUCAUGGACCUGAAAUGAGAAUCUUUGAGAUGAGAAAGGAGAAGUUUGCUUCAUGCAGAAACCUCUCCUGUUCAUUAGA
Molecule: long non-coding RNA, 4444 nt
Organism: Ornithorhynchus anatinus (platypus)
Lineage: Eukaryota; Metazoa; Chordata; Mammalia; Monotremata; Ornithorhynchidae
Exons: 3
Source: RefSeq, a predicted model, not a curated record